UAACUUCCAUGUUUCUGUCCUCUUAACAGGUUCAUCUUAACUUCCAUGUUUCUGUCCUCUUAACAGAUUCAUCUUAACUUCCAUGUUUCUGUCCUCUUAACAGGUUCAUCUUAACUUCCAUGUUUCUGUCCUCUUAACAGGUUCAUCUUAACUUCCAUGUUUCUGUCCUCUUAACAGAUUCAUCUUAACUUCCAUGUUUCUGUCCUCUUAACAGAUUCAUCUUAACUUCCAUGUUUCUGUCCUCUUAACAGAUUCAUCUUAACUUCCAUGUUUCUGUCCUCUUAACAGGUUCAUCUUAACUUCCAUGUUUCUGUCCUCUUAACAGGUUCAUCUUAACUUCCAUGUUUCUGUCCUCUUAACAGGUUCAUCUUAACUUCCAUGUUUCUGUCCUCUUAACAGAUUCAUCUUAACUUCCAUGUUUCUGUCCUCUUAACAGGUUCAUCUUAACUUCCAUGUUUCUGUCCUCUUAACAGGUUCAUCUUAACUUCCAUGUUUCUGUCCUCUUAACAGGUUCAUCUUAACUUCCAUGUUUCUGUCCUCUUAACAGAUUCAUCUUAACUUCCAUGUUUCUGUCCUCUUAACAGGUUCAUCUUAACUUCCAUGUUUCUGUCCUCUUAACAGAUUCAUCUUAACUUCCAUGUUUCUGUCCUCUUAACAGGUUCAUCUUAACUUCCAUGUUUCUGUCCUCUUAACAGGUUCAUCUUAACUUCCAUGUUUAUGUCCUCUUAACAGGUUCAUCUUAACUUCCAUGUUUCUGUCCUCUUAACAGAUUCAUCUUAACUUCCAUGUUUCUGUCCUCUUAACAGGUUCAUCUUAACUUCCAUGUUUCUGUCCUCUUAACAGGUUCAUCUUAACUUCCAUGUUUCUGUCCUCUUAACAGGUUCAUCUUAACUUCCAUGUUUCUGUCCUCUUAACAGGUUCAUCUUAACUUCCAUGUUUCUGUCCUCUUAACAGAUUCAUCUUAACUUCCAUGUUUCUGUCCUCUUAACAGAUUCAUCUUAACUUCCAUGUUUCUGUCCUCUUAACAGAUUCAUCUUAACUUCCAUGUUUCUGUCCUCUUAACAGGUUCAUCUUAACUUCCAUGUUUCUGUC
Molecule: long non-coding RNA, 1092 nt
Organism: Oncorhynchus keta (chum salmon)
Lineage: Eukaryota; Metazoa; Chordata; Actinopteri; Salmoniformes; Salmonidae
Exons: 5
Source: RefSeq, a predicted model, not a curated record